AUUGAACGCUGGCGGCAUGCCUUACACAUGCAAGUCGAACGGCAGCACGGGAGCAAUCCUGGUGGCGAGUGGCGAACGGGUGAGUAAUAUAUCGGAACGUGCCCGGUCGUGGGGGAUAACGUAGCGAAAGCUACGCUAAUACCGCAUACGAUCUACGGAUGAAAGCGGGGGAUCGCAAGACCUCGCGCGAUUGGAGCGGCCGAUAUCAGAUUAGGUAGUUGGUGAGGUAAAGGCUCACCAAGCCGACGAUCUGUAGCUGGUCUGAGAGGACGACCAGCCACACUGGGACUGAGACACGGCCCAGACUCCUACGGGAGGCAGCAGUGGGAAUUUGGACAAUGGGCGCAAGCCCGAUCCAGCAAUGCCGCGUGCAGGAUGAAGGCCUUCGGGUUGUAAACUGCUUUUGUACGGAACGAAACGGUGAGCUCUAAUACAGUUUGCUAAUGACGGUACCGUAAGAAUAAGCACCGGCUAACUACGUG
This 482-nucleotide ribosomal RNA is filed under the name uncultured bacterium. Its description in RNAcentral is "bacterial SSU rRNA". It matches the Rfam family "Bacterial small subunit ribosomal RNA", at positions 30 to 507 of the family's 1533-position model. The record is from RNAcentral.